This 193-nucleotide antisense RNA is filed under the name Yersinia bercovieri. RNAcentral's name for it is "Yersinia sRNA 276". It matches the Rfam family "Yersinia sRNA 276". Lineage: Bacteria; Pseudomonadati; Pseudomonadota; Gammaproteobacteria; Enterobacterales; Yersiniaceae. The record is from RNAcentral.
ACCGACAUCAAUGAUUCGUUCUGCGAACCAUGACCAACCGCCAGAUAAGAGUGCAUACCCAGCUCUUUCAUCUGCUGCUCGCCAAUCACGCGAGUGACGAUAUUGGUGCUGAAUGCAUCGGCCAGUUGACGCGCCUGCGACGCCAGAUAGGCGGCAUUACAGAUAUUUGGCGGCAUAUUGCCCAAGUCUUUGG